CGUAGGGGGCAAGCGUUGUCCGGAUUUAUUGGGCGUAAAGAGCGUGUAGGCGGCCGUGCAGGUCCGUUGUGAAAACUCGAGGCUCAACCUCGGGACGUCGAUGGAAACCGCACGGCUAGAGUCCGGAAGAGGAGAGCGGAAUUCCUGGUGUAGCGGUGAAAUGCGCAGAUAUCAGGAAGAACACCCGUGGCGAAGGCGGCUCUCUGGGACGGUACUGACGCUGAGACGCGAAAGCGUGGGGAGCGAACAGGAUUAGAUACCCUGGUAGUCCACGCCGUAAACGAUGGGUGCUAGGUGUGGGAGGUGUCGACUCCUUCCGUGCCGCAGCUAACGCAUUAAGCACCCCGCCUGGGGAGUACGGCCGCAAGGCUA
RNAcentral lists this ribosomal RNA (372 nucleotides) under uncultured organism. RNAcentral's name for it is "bacterial SSU rRNA". It matches the Rfam family "Bacterial small subunit ribosomal RNA", at positions 526 to 896 of the family's 1533-position model. The record is from RNAcentral.